RNAcentral lists this microRNA precursor (76 nucleotides) under Myotis lucifugus (little brown bat). RNAcentral's name for it is "mir-9229 microRNA precursor family". It matches the Rfam family "mir-9229 microRNA precursor family". Lineage: Eukaryota; Metazoa; Chordata; Mammalia; Chiroptera; Vespertilionidae. The record is from Rfam by way of RNAcentral.
GAGACUCCCUUCUGGGGCAAGACUUGCUUCAGUGGGGCUUUGGUGUUCACUGAGUCUGCCCCCUGAGUGUGUCCCU